This 494-nucleotide ribosomal RNA is filed under the name uncultured Rubrobacterales bacterium. RNAcentral's name for it is "bacterial SSU rRNA". It matches the Rfam family "Bacterial small subunit ribosomal RNA", at positions 8 to 489 of the family's 1533-position model. The record is from RNAcentral. Lineage: Bacteria; Bacillati; Actinomycetota; Rubrobacteria; Rubrobacterales.
AGAGUUUGAUCAUGGCUCAGGACGAACGCUGGCGGCGCGCUUAACACAUGCAAGUCGAGCGAGAACCAGGGCUUCGGCCCUGGGGACGGCGGCGAACGGGUGAGUAACACGUGGAUAACCUGCCCUCGGCACCGGGAUAGCCCGAGGAAACUCGGAUUAAUACCGGAUAGCCAUUCCGACUCUCGGGUCGGUCUGAAAAGGUAGCUUCGGCCUCUGGCCGAGGAUGGGUCCGCGGCGGAUUAGCUAGUUGGUGGGGUAACGGCCUACCAAGGCUUCGAUCCGUAGCUGGUCUGAGAGGACGAUCAGCCACACUGGGACUGAGACACGGCCCAGACUCCUACGGGAGGCAGCAGUGGGGAAUCUUGCGCAAUGGGCGAAAGCCUGACGCAGCGACGCCGCGUGAGGGAGGAAGGCCUUCGGGUUGUAAACCUCUUUCAGGAGGGACGAAGCUACUCGGGUUAAUAGCCCAGAGGGUGACGGUACCUCCAGAAGAG